This 358-nucleotide unclassified non-coding RNA is filed under the name soil metagenome. RNAcentral's name for it is "partial contains 5.8S ribosomal RNA, internal transcribed spacer 2, and large subunit ribosomal RNA". The stretch from base 1 to 120 matches the Rfam family "5.8S ribosomal RNA", at positions 35 to 154 of the family's 154-position model. The record is from RNAcentral.
GAUGAAGAACGUAGCGAAAUGCGAUAAGUAAUGUGAAUUGCAGAAUUCAGUGAAUCAUCGAAUCUUUGAACGCACAUUGCGCCCGUCAGUAUUCUGGCGGGCAUGCCUGUUCGAGCGUCAUUACGCCCCUCAAGUCCCCUGUGGACUUGGUGUUGGGGAUCGGCGAGGCUGGUUUUCCAGCACAGCCGUCCCUUAAAUUAAUUGGCGGUCUCGCCGUGGCCCUCCUCUGCGCAGUAGUAAAACACUCGCAACAGGAGCCCGGCGCGGUCCACUGCCGUAAAACCCCCCAACUUUUUAUAGUUGACCUCGAAUCAGGUAGGACUACCCGCUGAACUUAAGCAUAUCAAUAACCGGAGGA